Molecule: ribosomal RNA, 2920 nt
Filed under: Bacillus cereus VD200
Lineage: Bacteria; Bacillati; Bacillota; Bacilli; Caryophanales; Bacillaceae
Description: bacterial LSU rRNA
Rfam family: Bacterial large subunit ribosomal RNA
Source: RNAcentral
UUAAGUUAGAAAGGGCGCACGGUGGAUGCCUUGACACUAGGAGUCGAUGAAGGACGGGACUAACGCCGAUAUGCUUCGGGGAGCUGUAAGUAAGCUUUGAUCCGAAGAUUUCCGAAUGGGGAAACCCACCAUACGUAAUGGUAUGGUAUCCUUAUCUGAAUACAUAGGGUAAGGAAGACAGACCCAGGGAACUGAAACAUCUAAGUACCUGGAGGAAGAGAAAGCAAAUGCGAUUUCCUGAGUAGCGGCGAGCGAAACGGAACAUAGCCCAAACCAAGAGGCUUGCCUCUUGGGGUUGUAGGACAUUCUAUACGGAGUUACAAAGGAACGAGGUAGACGAAGCGACCUGGAAAGGUCCGUCGUAGAGGGUAACAACCCCGUAGUCGAAACUUCGUUCUCUCUUGAAUGUAUCCUGAGUACGGCGGAACACGUGAAAUUCCGUCGGAAUCUGGGAGGACCAUCUCCCAAGGCUAAAUACUCCCUAGUGAUCGAUAGUGAACCAGUACCGUGAGGGAAAGGUGAAAAGCACCCCGGAAGGGGAGUGAAAGAGAUCCUGAAACCGUGUGCCUACAAAUAGUCAGAGCCCGUUAAUGGGUGAUGGCGUGCCUUUUGUAGAAUGAACCGGCGAGUUACGAUCCCGUGCGAGGUUAAGCUGAAGAGGCGGAGCCGCAGCGAAAGCGAGUCUGAAUAGGGCGUUUAGUACGUGGUCGUAGACCCGAAACCAGGUGAUCUACCCAUGUCCAGGGUGAAGUUCAGGUAACACUGAAUGGAGGCCCGAACCCACGCACGUUGAAAAGUGCGGGGAUGAGGUGUGGGUAGCGGAGAAAUUCCAAUCGAACCUGGAGAUAGCUGGUUCUCCCCGAAAUAGCUUUAGGGCUAGCCUUAAGUGUAAGAGUCUUGGAGGUAGAGCACUGAUUGGACUAGGGGUCCUCAUCGGAUUACCGAAUUCAGUCAAACUCCGAAUGCCAAUGACUUAUCCUUAGGAGUCAGACUGUGAGUGAUAAGAUCCGUAGUCAAAAGGGAAACAGCCCAGACCGCCAGCUAAGGUCCCAAAGUGUGUAUUAAGUGGAAAAGGAUGUGGAGUUGCUUAGACAACUAGGAUGUUGGCUUAGAAGCAGCCACCAUUUAAAGAGUGCGUAAUAGCUCACUAGUCGAGUGACUCUGCGCCGAAAAUGUACCGGGGCUAAAUACACCACCGAAGCUGCGGAUUGAUACCAAUGGUAUCAGUGGUAGGGGAGCGUUCUAAGGACAGUGAAGUCAGACCGGAAGGACUGGUGGAGUGCUUAGAAGUGAGAAUGCCGGUAUGAGUAGCGAAAGACGGGUGAGAAUCCCGUCCACCGAAUGCCUAAGGUUUCCUGAGGAAGGCUCGUCCGCUCAGGGUUAGUCAGGACCUAAGCCGAGGCCGACAGGCGUAGGCGAUGGACAACAGGUUGAUAUUCCUGUACCACCUCUUUAUCGUUUGAGCAAUGGAGGGACGCAGAAGGAUAGAAGAAGCGUGCGAUUGGUUGUGCACGUCCAAGCAGUUAGGCUGAUAAGUAGGCAAAUCCGCUUAUCGUGUAUGCUGAGCUGUGAUGGGGAAGCUCCUUAUGGAGCGAAGUCUUUGAUUCCCCGCUGCCAAGAAAAGCUUCUAGCGAGAUAAAAGGUGCCUGUACCGCAAACCGACACAGGUAGGCGAGGAGAGAAUCCUAAGGUGUGCGAGAGAACUCUGGUUAAGGAACUCGGCAAAAUGACCCCGUAACUUCGGGAGAAGGGGUGCUUUCUUAACGGAAAGCCGCAGUGAAUAGGCCCAAGCGACUGUUUAGCAAAAACACAGCUCUCUGCGAAGCCGUAAGGCGAAGUAUAGGGGGUGACACCUGCCCGGUGCUGGAAGGUUAAGGAGAGGGGUUAGCGUAAGCGAAGCUCUGAACUGAAGCCCCAGUAAACGGCGGCCGUAACUAUAACGGUCCUAAGGUAGCGAAAUUCCUUGUCGGGUAAGUUCCGACCCGCACGAAAGGUGUAACGAUUUGGGCACUGUCUCAACCAGAGACUCGGUGAAAUUAUAGUACCUGUGAAGAUGCAGGUUACCCGCGACAGGACGGAAAGACCCCGUGGAGCUUUACUGUAGCCUGAUAUUGAAUUUUGGUACAGUUUGUACAGGAUAGGCGGGAGCCAUUGAAACCGGAGCGCUAGCUUCGGUGGAGGCGCUGGUGGGAUACCGCCCUGACUGUAUUGAAAUUCUAACCUACGGGUCUUAUCGACCCGGGAGACAGUGUCAGGUGGGCAGUUUGACUGGGGCGGUCGCCUCCUAAAGUGUAACGGAGGCGCCCAAAGGUUCCCUCAGAAUGGUUGGAAAUCAUUCGUAGAGUGCAAAGGCAUAAGGGAGCUUGACUGCGAGACCUACAAGUCGAGCAGGGACGAAAGUCGGGCUUAGUGAUCCGGUGGUUCCGCAUGGAAGGGCCAUCGCUCAACGGAUAAAAGCUACCCCGGGGAUAACAGGCUUAUCUCCCCCAAGAGUCCACAUCGACGGGGAGGUUUGGCACCUCGAUGUCGGCUCAUCGCAUCCUGGGGCUGUAGUCGGUCCCAAGGGUUGGGCUGUUCGCCCAUUAAAGCGGUACGCGAGCUGGGUUCAGAACGUCGUGAGACAGUUCGGUCCCUAUCCGUCGUGGGCGUAGGAAAUUUGAGAGGAGCUGUCCUUAGUACGAGAGGACCGGGAUGGACGCACCGCUGGUGUACCAGUUGUUCUGCCAAGGGCAUAGCUGGGUAGCUAUGUGCGGAAGGGAUAAGUGCUGAAAGCAUCUAAGCAUGAAGCCCCCCUCAAGAUGAGAUUUCCCAUAGCGUAAGCUAGUAAGAUCCCUGAAAGAUGAUCAGGUUGAUAGGUUCGAGGUGGAAGCAUGGUGACAUGUGGAGCUGACGAAUACUAAUAGAUCGAGGACUUAACCAU